AGGGAGAGAGCUUCCAAUGCACUGUGGCCAGCAGGAGGAAACUUCAUCCCAACUGCCACGUGCUUCUGGAAGAAAGUCCUUAUGAGGAGAGCGGGAGUGAAGUUUGUGGGAUAUACAAACAUAACUGAAAAAAAACUGAAAUACUGAGGGCACUAAACAAUGAGCUGAACAGUCAAACCCCAUGCCACAGAGUACUGCAAAGCAGCUCGAUACUGUUUCUACAACUUACCCAUUUGGCUAGAGCUUCUCUGAUAGUUGUUGCUUUCGCCUAAAAGAUGAAAAAGUAAAUGAAUAU
Molecule: long non-coding RNA, 295 nt
Organism: Pezoporus occidentalis (night parrot)
Lineage: Eukaryota; Metazoa; Chordata; Aves; Psittaciformes; Psittacidae
Exons: 2
Source: RefSeq, a predicted model, not a curated record